CCCUUAGAUGUUCUGGGCCGCACGCGCGCUACACUGACGGAGGCAGCGAGCAUGUCCUUCGCCGAGAGGUGUGGGGAAUCUUGUGAGUCUCCGUCGUGCUGGGGAUAGAUGGUUGCAAUUGUCGAUCUUGAACGAGGAAUUCCUAGUAAGCGCGAGUCAUCAGCUCGCGCUGAUUACGUCCCUGCCCUUUGUACACACCGCCCGUCGCUACUACCGAUCGAAGAGUUAGGUGAAUUGUUUUGAUCGAUAAGAUUUGACUAUGGUCAACUCUCGUUGUGAAAUUCUGUGAAUCUGACUGUUUAGAGGAAGGAAAAGUCGUAACA
This 323-nucleotide ribosomal RNA is filed under the name uncultured eukaryote. RNAcentral's name for it is "partial 18S ribosomal RNA". It matches the Rfam family "Eukaryotic small subunit ribosomal RNA", at positions 1470 to 1796 of the family's 1831-position model. The record is from RNAcentral.